RNAcentral lists this ribosomal RNA (349 nucleotides) under uncultured Aminicenantes bacterium. RNAcentral describes it as "bacterial SSU rRNA". It matches the Rfam family "Bacterial small subunit ribosomal RNA", at positions 1033 to 1382 of the family's 1533-position model. Lineage: Bacteria; Candidatus Aminicenantota. The record is from RNAcentral.
UAGAGGUGCUGCAUGGCUGUCGUCAGCUCGUGUCGUGAGAUGUUGGGUUAAGUCCCGCAACGAGCGCAACCCUUACCCUUAGUUGCCAGCGGGUAAUGCCGGGCACUCUAAGGGGACCGCCCCGGAUAACGGGGAGGAAGGCGGGAUGACGUCAAGUCAGCAUGGCCUUUAUGUCCAGGGCUACACACGUGCUACAAUGGGCGAUACAGAGGGAAGCAAGGCCGCAAGGUAGAGCUAAUCCCUAAAGUCGUCCUCAGUUCGGAUUGCAGGCUGCAACUCGCCUGCAUGAAGUCGGAAUCGCUAGUAAUCGCGGAUCAGCUACGCCGCGGUGAAUACGUUCUCGGGCCUU